AAGUCGUAACAAGGUAACCGUAGGUGAACCUGCGGUUGGAUCAUUAAAAAGAUCAUGAUUAUUUUUUUUUGCCUCUUUUUGGGGUUCAGCCCUUUGAAUGCAAAAAAAAGCCAAUAGGGAGUGCUUCAUUUGUAUCUCCCAUUGUGCAAACCACAUCUAUGUGCACUGUUAAUGUCUUUGGUGGGGGGGUACAACAAUCUGUUGUCUGCAACAUAUUUGUGUGCUCGUCAGUUUCAAAGGGAUCUUGUUGUUUCUUUGAGGCCGUGGACAUCCCACCACAUGUUUUUAAACCUUGCUCAAAACAGUAGAUUUUCUUGUCUUAAACAUAUUCUGUUGUAUUUCCAAUGCAACCAAAUAUACAAACAACUUUUGGCAACGGAUCUCUUGGCUCUC
Molecule: unclassified non-coding RNA, 393 nt
Filed under: fungal sp.
Lineage: Eukaryota; Fungi
Description: partial internal transcribed spacer region
Rfam family: Eukaryotic small subunit ribosomal RNA (bases 1-46)
Source: RNAcentral